CGAUGAAUCUUCGUCUAGCCAUUUUGCUGUUUCACGAUCCCAAUCCGAACCAUCCCCCU
Molecule: non-coding RNA, 59 nt
Filed under: Palpitomonas bilix
Lineage: Eukaryota
Source: RNAcentral